RNAcentral lists this ribosomal RNA (238 nucleotides) under uncultured bacterium. RNAcentral describes it as "partial 16S ribosomal RNA". It matches the Rfam family "Bacterial small subunit ribosomal RNA", at positions 96 to 334 of the family's 1533-position model. The record is from RNAcentral.
UGGCGGACGGGUGAGUAACGCGUGGGUAACCUGCCUCAUACAGGGGGAUAACAGUUAGAAAUGACUGCUAAUACCGCAUAAGACCACAGUACCGCAUGGUACAGGGGUAAAAACUCCGGUGGUAUGAGAUGGACCCGCGUCUGAUUAGGUAGUUGGUGGGGUAACGGCCUACCAAGCCGACGAUCAGUAGCCGACCUGAGAGGGUGACCGGCCACAUUGGGACUGAGACACGGCCCAG